Molecule: long non-coding RNA, 886 nt
Filed under: Vulpes vulpes (red fox)
Lineage: Eukaryota; Metazoa; Chordata; Mammalia; Carnivora; Canidae
Description: lncRNA (ENSVVUG00000018835.1)
Source: RNAcentral
CUGUCUAUAGCUCUGUGUCGGGAAGGCUGCCUCCUUUUUGUGGAAUGGGAGCUGAAUGGGAGCCCUGUCCCUGUCUGUUGACAGCUCUACCUGUGACUGCAGAUGGCGUGUUUCAUGGACUGGAAAUGCACGCAGGUGGCAUCUGAGAAUUCCUGGUGAGCAGGGACUUGGGGUCAGAGCAGCCCGGUCCCCGACUUACCCUGACACCCUUACGUACCCUAAGCCACAGACUCUUCCCCUGCAUCAGAUGGGGCUGGGGUACCUCCUUACUCAUUCCCUUACUCAUUCAGCCUGUCCAUCUGCUUUUAUGAAGACAGCAGCCUUCCCGGAUUCCUGACCCCUAGAAACGGUGAGGUUGUAAACGUUUAUUGUUCUAAGCUGAGGACUUUUGUUGGAGUGAUUUAUUAUACAGCAAUAGCUUAACCCCGAGCCACAUCCUCUGCCCACUGAGCUCUUAGGAUCAGGGAAGAAAACAAACAGGGAAACCUAAAUAUUAUAUAAGAAAGCAGGUCAACUUCAUACAAAGCACGUGGCCCGGAUACGGGAGAGCUCGAUUCUUAUUUCACAGGGUCAAACAAUGAAUCUCGAGGACCCCUGACAACGGGCAAAAUGAUAGAAAUAUAUUAAGCAAAGAUGCAGAGAAAACCCUCAGAAGUGAGACGGGUCCUGACAGCCUGGCCACUGAGGGCUUUUAUGGGCAGCCCGGGUGGCUCAGUGGUUUAGCACCUGCCUUCGGCCCAGGGCAUGAUCCUGGAGUCCUGGGAUCGAGUCCUGCGUCAGGCUCCCUGCAUGGAGCCUGCUUCUCCCUCUGCCUGUGUCUCUGCCUCUCUCUCUCUGUCUCUCAUUCAUAAAUAAAUAAAUAAAUAAAUAAAUAAAUAAAUAAAUA